This 78-nucleotide transfer RNA is filed under the name Burkholderia contaminans. Its description in RNAcentral is "tRNA-Arg". The record is from RNAcentral. Lineage: Bacteria; Pseudomonadati; Pseudomonadota; Betaproteobacteria; Burkholderiales; Burkholderiaceae.
CGCACGCGCGGCGCGCGAUCGUCCGCGUCUUCCGGCGACACGCAGGGUGCGGCCGCCGAUCGUGUCGGCCGCGUGCGC